GUUAUUGUAGCUUAUGUAAAGCAUGACACUGAAGAUGUCAAGAUAAGCUGUGAAAAGCUUCGAUAACA
This 68-nucleotide transfer RNA is filed under the name Calotomus japonicus (Japanese parrotfish). RNAcentral's name for it is "tRNA-Phe". It matches the Rfam family "tRNA". Rfam says of the family: Transfer RNA (tRNA) molecules are approximately 80 nucleotides in length. Their secondary structure includes four short double-helical elements and three loops (D, anti-codon, and T loops). Lineage: Eukaryota; Metazoa; Chordata; Actinopteri; Labriformes; Labridae. The record is from RNAcentral.